UACAGAGGGUGCAAGCGUUGUUCGGAAUUACUGGGCGUAAAGCGUGCGUAGGUGGUUCGUUAAGUCUGAUGUGAAAGCCCUGGGCUCAACCUGGGAAUGGCAUUGGAUACUGGCGACCUAGAGUGCGGUAGAGGGGUGUGGAAUUCCCGGUGUAGCAGUGAAAUGCGUAGAUAUCGGGAGGAACAUCUGUGGCGAAGGCGACACCCCGGACCAGCACUGACACUGAGGCACGAAAGCGUGGGGAGCAAACAGG
RNAcentral lists this ribosomal RNA (253 nucleotides) under uncultured bacterium. RNAcentral's name for it is "partial 16S ribosomal RNA". It matches the Rfam family "Bacterial small subunit ribosomal RNA", at positions 524 to 776 of the family's 1533-position model. The record is from RNAcentral.